RNAcentral lists this ribosomal RNA (435 nucleotides) under uncultured bacterium. RNAcentral's name for it is "bacterial SSU rRNA". It matches the Rfam family "Bacterial small subunit ribosomal RNA", at positions 29 to 510 of the family's 1533-position model. The record is from RNAcentral.
AACGAACGCUGGCGGCAGGCCUAACACAUGCAAGUCGAACGCCCCGCAAGGGGGAGUGGCAGACGGGUGAGUAACACGUGGGAACGUACCCUUCGGUUCGGGAUAACUCAGGGAAACUUGAGCUAAUACCGGAUACGUCCGAGAGGAGAAAGAUUUAUCGCCGAGGGAUCGGCCCGCGUCUGAUUAGCUUGUUGGUGAGGUAACGGCUCACCAAGGCGACGAUCAGUAGCUGGUCUGAGAGGAUGAUCAGCCACAUUGGGACUGAGACACGGCCCAAACUCCUACGGGAGGCAGCAGUGGGGAAUAUUGGACAAUGGGCGCAAGCCUGAUCCAGCCAUGCCGCGUGAGUGAUGAAGGCCCUAGGGUUGUAAAGCUCUUUUACCCGGGAAGAUAAUGACUGUACCGGGAGAAUAAGCCCCGGCUAACUUCGUGCCA